Molecule: long non-coding RNA, 268 nt
Filed under: Manihot esculenta (cassava)
Lineage: Eukaryota; Viridiplantae; Streptophyta; Magnoliopsida; Malpighiales; Euphorbiaceae
Description: long non-coding RNA (MESC_LNC005353)
Source: RNAcentral
GUCUGCCUUAACUGUUCAAACUCAAUCAUCUUCAAUUCUCUUGAACUAUCAGGAAAAGUCCAUCCUGCAAAUUCAUUUGCAAACUCCUCCCAUGAUAGGCUGUCCAACCUCGGGCUCAUAUAGUUCUUAAACCACUCACGGGCCUUUUUGCAUUUAAGUGUGAACCCAGCCAUCUGAAUGGCUCUACUGUCAUCCGCCCCUAUCUCAUCUGUAAUUGUUUUGACCCUCUCAAGGUACACAAACGGGUCAUCACCGGUUUCAAACUGGG